GGCGGAGUGGUAUAGUGGUUAACAAACCCGACCGGAUAUUGGGAGACCCUGAGUUCAAAUCCCGGCUCCGCCA
Molecule: transfer RNA, 73 nt
Filed under: Ixodes scapularis (black-legged tick)
Lineage: Eukaryota; Metazoa; Arthropoda; Arachnida; Ixodida; Ixodidae
Rfam family: tRNA
About the family: Transfer RNA (tRNA) molecules are approximately 80 nucleotides in length. Their secondary structure includes four short double-helical elements and three loops (D, anti-codon, and T loops).
Source: Rfam by way of RNAcentral